This 459-nucleotide ribosomal RNA is filed under the name uncultured bacterium. Its description in RNAcentral is "partial 16S ribosomal RNA". It matches the Rfam family "Bacterial small subunit ribosomal RNA", at positions 338 to 795 of the family's 1533-position model. The record is from RNAcentral.
CCUACGGGUGGCAGCAGUGAGGAAUAUUGGUCAAUGGCCGGAAGGCUGAACCAGCCAAGCCGCGUGAAGGACGAAGGUGCCACGCAUUGUAAACUUCUUUUGUCAAGGGACAAAAUCAGGCUCGAGAGCCUGACCGAGGGUACUUGAAGAACAAGCAUCGGCUAACUCCGUGCCAGCAGCCGCGGUAAUACGGAGGAUGCGAGCGUUAUCCGGAUGUAUUGGGUUUAAAGGGUGCGUAGGCGGGCUGUUAAGUCAGCGGUAAAAGCCCGGGGCUAAACCCCGGCGAGCCGUUGAGACUGGCUGUCUAGAGAUGUCGAGAGGUAUGCGGAAUGCGCAGUGUAGCGGUGAAAUGCUUAGAUAUUGCGCAGAACUCCGAUUGCGAAGGCAGCAUACCGGCGGCGAUCUGACGCUGAGGCACGAAAGCGUGGGUAUCGAACAGGAUUAGAUACCCCAGUAGUC